CGGUGUUUAACUGGCGUGAUGUGGGACGUCCUACCGGUGGGCUUAGCCUCGCGAGGGGCGGCCCAACUAAUAUCCCGUCGCGGUGCUCUUUACUGAGUGUCGAGUCGGGCCGGUACGUUUACUUUGAACAAAUUAGAGUGCUUAAAGCAGGCUAUCCUCGCCUGAAUACUGCGUGCAUGGAAUAAUGGAAUAGGACCUCGGUUCUAUUUUGUUGGUUUUCGGAACCCCGAGGUAAUGAUUAAUAGGGACAGAUGGGGGCAUUCGUAUUGCGACGUUAGAGGUGAAAUUCUUGGAUCGUCGCAAGACGGACAGAAGCAAAAGCAUUUGCCAAAAAUGUUUUCAUUAAUCAAGAACGAAAGUUAGAGGUUCGAAGGCGAUCAGAUACCGCCCUAGUUCUAACCAUAAACGAUGCCAGCUAGCGAUCCGCCGAAGUUCCUCCGAUGACUCGGCGGGCAGCUUCCGGGAAACCAAAGCUUUUGGGUUCCGGGGGAAGUAUGGUUGCAAAGCUGAAACUUAAAGGAAUUGACGGAAGGGCACCACCAGGAGUGGAGCCUGCGGCUUAAUUUGACUCAACACGGGAAACCUCACCAGGCCCAGACACCGGAAGGAUUGACAGAUUGAUAGCUCUUUCUUGAUUCGGUGGGUGGUGGUGCAUGGCCGUUCUUAGUUGGUGGAGCGAUUUGUCUGGUUAAUUCCGAUAACGAACGAGACUCUAGCCUGCUAAAUAGGCGUACCUUAUGGUAUCGCGAAGGCCCCCGGCUUCGGCCGGUGGGUUUUUACUACCAACGUACAAACAAAUCUUCUUAGAGGGACAGGCGG
This 819-nucleotide ribosomal RNA is filed under the name uncultured eukaryote. Its description in RNAcentral is "SSU rRNA". It matches the Rfam family "Eukaryotic small subunit ribosomal RNA", at positions 629 to 1426 of the family's 1831-position model. The record is from RNAcentral.